CACUGAAGCUUACAAAAACUUAAGAGAAGAUCUUUAAAACAGGAAUGAUUGUUAUAAACAGGACUCUUUCGCAGUAUGAUACGACAUUGUGCAGUGAGAGAGCGACAGGAAAGUGGGGGAGAAGGAUGUGUGUGAAAGGGCCACGAGUGGGAGUCGAACUCAUGACCUCCACAUCAGGACUGUAGUCCUGCACAUGGGACACCAGCUCAACCAGGUGAGCCAUAGCGGCGCCCCUGUAUUUGCUUGUUACAUAUAAAGUAUAUGUGAGGAAGGUGAAACUAUAAAGAAAGAAGCGGACAGUAGUUGUUUUUUGUUUUUUUUUGUUUUUGUCAUACUUUGUGUCCUUCAAUUAAUUCAUCCUUUACACUUUCACCCCAGUCUCUGGUUAAUGUUAUUGCUCGAUUGUAAUUCUGUAUGUAUGUACGUAUCUACAGUAUGAAAAGAUAAGUAGAAGUGUGUAGAGGAUUUGGAAGGUUUUUAACCUGAUUAACAAUCAGAGGUGAAUAUAAGCAAACAUACUCUACAACAACAUGGUAGCAUAUACAAGCUUUACUGAGCAAAGUGUUUAAUAAAUGCAUCUUGUAAUAUCAA
Molecule: long non-coding RNA, 591 nt
Organism: Stegastes partitus (bicolor damselfish)
Lineage: Eukaryota; Metazoa; Chordata; Actinopteri; Pomacentridae
Exons: 2
Source: RefSeq, a predicted model, not a curated record